This is a long non-coding RNA of Phasianus colchicus (ring-necked pheasant), 2422 nucleotides long. The record is from Ensembl. NCBI's taxonomy places the organism in Eukaryota, Metazoa, Chordata, Aves, Galliformes, Phasianidae.
GGGACCCCUCCUCAGCCAUAAGGUGCGGGCGGCACCCCGAGCUUCCCAGGGACCCCAACCCCCCCACACCACCUCCCCCCCCCACCCCCCGGGACCCCCACCCUCCUUGCAGCCCUGCACCGAACCCCAUCACAGCACUGCUGUGGGGUGGGGAUGUGAUGGGGGGGGGGGGCAGCUGCAGCAAAAGGGUCCAAUGGUGUCUGACCCCAAAUUGGGGGCUGACCCCACGGGGACCCCGUAGCAUCCGACCCCACGAGUGGGGGGACCCAAAGGACACCAUACAGCACCCAACCACAGCGGUGGGGGGGACCCCGUGGGCACCCUGUGGUGUCUGACCCCAAAAUUGGGGGCUGAUCCUAUGGGCUCCCUAUGGUGUCCGACCCCAAAACUGGGGGAGGUCCAAUGGGCACCCUAUGGUGUCUGACCCCAAAACUGGAUGGUGGUCCUAUGGGCUCCCUAUGGUGUCUGACCCCAAAAUUGGGGGGUGGUCCUAUGGGCACCCUAUGGUGUCUGACCCCAAAUCGAGGGGUGACCCUACGGAUUCCCCAUGGUGCCCAAACCCAAAGUGGGGGCUGCCCAAAGGGAUACCCCAUAGUGCCUGACCCCAAUCUGGGGCUGACCCCAUGGGUGCCCUAUGUUGCCCCAUCCCAAGCUGGGGGGUGGCCCUAUGGGCACCCUAUGGUGUCUGCCCCCCAAAUUGGGGGGUGGCCCUAUGGGCUCCCUAUGGUGUCUGCCCCCCAAAUUGGGGGGUGGUCCCACUGCCGCCCCGUGGCAUCCGACCCCAAACCGAGGGCUGACCCCACGGCUACCUUAUGGUGCCCAACCCCAAAGCGGGGGAUAACAGCGGGGUGCCCCUCGGUGCCCCACCCCCCGGCACCCCGGGAGGGGCGCAUUCCCGGCCCCACAGCUCCCGGUGGGUUGGGGACCCCCCCCCCGUUGCGUUUUGGGGACCCCCAGGCGCACUCACCCUGCAGCCCCGCGUCCCUCUGCCGCUCCCAGCGCGUCCCCUCCUGCAGGGCGCUGCGUCCCACUGCCUCUCCGUGGGAGGGGGGGGUGCACCCAAAACACAGCAACAACCCCAAACCCGCAGCCCCCACUGGGGGUGGGGGGGGCCCAGAACGCGGCGCGGGGUUCAACCCAAAAAGGGGGGGGGGACCCUAAACCCCAAACCUGCGGCGUGCUGCUGCGUUGCUGCCUCUGCUCCGCAUCUCCCGACCCCCACAUUGCCCCCCCCAUGGCGUGGGGCGACCCUACAACCUUAUGGGGCGACCCUACAACCCUAUGGGGUGAGCCCAGGGGAGGGGGAUGGGACAGACAGUGAGGUGGGGGGGAGCACAGAAGGUGCAGCAGCAGAGGAGAAGUGCAGCGCCCAGCAGCAAUGCAGCGCCCAGCAGCAAUGCAUCGCUCAGCAGCAAUGCAGCACUCAGCAGCAAUGCAGCAACAACACAGCAGUGGCAGCGAUGCAAAACCCAACCCCGCCUCCCCUCCCCUCCCCCAUCCCAAAUGCACGCAGCCCCAGUGCAGCAGCAGCAGCAGAAGUUGCUGCAGGGAUGCAAGGAUGCGUUGCUGGGGGGGUGCAGGGACGGAAUGCUGCAGAGAUGCAGGGGUGUGGAUGCAGGGCUGCAGGGAUGUGGAUGCAGGGCUGCAGGGCUGCAGGGCUGCAGAGAUGUGUGGGUGCAGGGCUGCAGGGCUUUGUGGAUGCAGGGUUUUGUGGAUACAAAGAUGCAGGGAUGUGGAUGCAGGGCUGCAGAGAUGCAGAGAUGCAGGGCUGUGGAUGCAGGGCUGUGGCUGCAGGGCUGCAGGGCUGUGGAUGCAGGGCUGCAGGGCUGUGUGGAUGCAGGGCUGUGUGGAUGCAGGGCUGCAGGGCUGUGGCUGCAGGGCUGUGGAUGCAGGGCUGCAGAGAUGCAGGGAUGUGGAUGCAGGGCUACAGGGCUGUGGCUGCAGGGCUGUGGCUGCAGGGCUGUGUGGAUGCAGGGCUGCAGGGCUGUGGCUGCAGGGCUGUGGCUGCAGGGCUGCAGGGCUGUGUGGAUGCAGGGCUGUGGAUGCAGGGCUGUGGCUGCAGGGCUGUGUGGAUGCAGGGAUGCAGGGCUGUGGCUGCAGGGCUAUGGAUGCAGGGAUGCAGGGCUGCAGAGAUGCAGGGGUGCAGGGGUGCAGGGCUGUGGCUGCAGGGCUGCAGGGCUGCAGAGCAGGGCCGUACCUGAGAAGAAGUGCGCCUUGAAGCCCUUCUUGGACACGGUGUUGUCGGACUUGAACUCGAUGCGCAUGUUGUUGUACUGCGACGUGAUGACGGCCGGCCGCGCCGCGCCGCAGAACUUCCCGUGCAGCUUGGAGUCGGCCGUCAGCCCGCUGCGCACCUCCACAAAGUCGUACUUACACACCUGGGGGGCGGGGCGGCUGGGUGACACGGGGGGGUGACGGGGGG